UCGCCAUUUUUCCCUUUUUGAGUUGACCGAGCCUGCACUCAACCUUUUAAAUGUCACACGCCGGACCGAGAUUGGGCAAGAUUUGGCAUUUAAAAGGAAGUCAGCAUCAAAAAUUUUAUGUGAUACCAAACUCUUUGGCUCUACAUGUGUACAAAGUUGAUCAGGAUAUUUAGGAAAGAUCAUUUCUAGGUUCGCUGAAAUACGGUGAGCUUGGAAAAAUGGUGUUUUUUUUGUUCAAGUAAACAUAAAAGAUCGAAGCAAUAUACGAAAUGAUACGUGGCACUUUAUUUUGGGGCGUCGAGAGUGAAUAUUAAAAAAAAAAAAUUUCUUCAAAACAACAAAAAGCGUAAUUUUUCAUUAUUUUUCUCGGCAGAAGAAGCUCUAAACAUAAUGCAAAAUAAAAAUAAAUAAAAAUCGAUGGUAUCCUUCAUGGCGAAAGAGUGGUUAUCAUGGACAACCGCCAACAAUACAAGCAGUAUUUAGAGCCCGGGUCACAAGAUCCAAUCUCUUCAUCAUCCUGGUAUAGAUGUAAAAAAGUUUUGAAAGAUAAGGUAGCAGGUGACCCUUCACAGUUUACUAUUCGUAAUAUGGAAAAUGAGCAGGCGAUGGAUUAUGAUUUUUCAAAGUCUGAUAAUAUGAUGGAGAAAGGAAUAUCGCAUGAAUAUUCUCAGGAAAAUUUGAGCACUGAAAUGGCUUUUUGAAGCAGUCACAAGGAUCCAAUAAAUGAAGAGCACUGUAUGGUAGGUCAGUUACACCAGCCCCCCUCCUAAUUUUUGAGUUUUCUAUAGUCCACUGAAUUGCGCCCCAAAUGCGCC
RNA transcript from Belonocnema kinseyi, 815 nucleotides. RefSeq lists it as uncharacterized. The transcript has 5 exons. NCBI's taxonomy places the organism in Eukaryota, Metazoa, Arthropoda, Insecta, Hymenoptera, Cynipidae. The record is from RefSeq and is a predicted model, not a curated record.